Molecule: RNA transcript, 2428 nt
Organism: Tachyglossus aculeatus (Australian echidna)
Lineage: Eukaryota; Metazoa; Chordata; Mammalia; Monotremata; Tachyglossidae
Gene name: basal body-orientation factor 1-like
Exons: 3
Source: RefSeq, a predicted model, not a curated record
AAAUAAUGGUACUUGUUAAAUACUCUAUGCCAAGCACUGGAGUAGAUACAAGCUAGGUAGUGAUAGCAAUGGAGUUGAUCAUCUAGGGUUGGGAUAAGUGAUAUCACCUGUACUGAAUUAUCCAAGGAGUUGGGGUGGGUGAAGGAAGCUGGAGUUGUGUAUGUAGCAGGGCAGGCAGGAGACUAGGGCUGGAUAGUCAUUGUCAGUUGGAUUAAUGAUGUGUAUGUAGUGGAGAGGGCUGAGGGUGGUAGGAGAAUGUGUUGGAUAGCAUUUCCUUGCUCAUUCUGUUGAUCAGAUGAUGGUGUUUGGCAGGCACUUAAUAUGUGUUCCAAGUGCUGUCGGAUUGGACACUGAUGUGUGUGGUUAGCGGUGUUGGUAGCCGAGCCUCUGAUUUGGUUCUCUGGAGCGGAGGAAGUUGAGGGGUCAUGAUGCAAUGAAGUUCGUUUGUUUUUUAGGGAGACGAUUGCUGCUCUGCAUCUGGAGGUGAGGGUUUCAAUGGGGCUGAAAUCAUGGGGUGCAUGGGGGUGCAUGCUCACUGUUUCUGAGUGCCUCUGUGUGUCUCUGUGUGUCUUUGUCAUUGAGCUCUCUUCCUGUGCUCUUGCCAGGCCCCAGUUAGCUAGUAUUGCCCACUCGACCAUAAAGUCAUCCAAUCGAGUGACCUUCCACAACCUCAACACAGGACUUUGUUCCUGGAAUGUGCCGGAUUCAAGGCAGUUUCUACAGGGCUUGUGCAACCCCCCACCCCAUUAUACAAAAUUGGGUACAUCUCCAGCCCCCAUCCACGGAAAACUUGCCCUCUGCUCUCCACUCUCCUCACUGAAUUCAGCGCCGUGGAUCGGUCCUGGAGCGUCAGAAUGUGAGUCCCCCCUCCCGGGGACGGGAACCAAGACCCGCCGAUGGGGAAGGGGUGGGGUGGCAAUGCCAUGGUGAACGCCUCGAGGGCAAAUCGCGCCGACCGCAGCUCGCCGUCGGGGGACUCUUUUUUCGAAUUCCCAGUUCGUGUACCCUAAGAUACAAGUCUCCGAUUAUGCCACUGCGGGACUCCAUGAGAGCCCCACAAAAGCCCAGCAGCGAGUUGGGGUUCAGUAGCCCCACCCAUGUGGAGUAGACUGUAAACUGCUUGUGGGCAAGGAAUGUCCGUUCCGUUGUGCUCUCCAAAAUGCUUAAUACAGUACUGCGUGCUCAAUAAAUACUCUGGCCUGAUCCAGAGCACCACCAGCACAAGCGCGGUUGUAAGAGCAGAGGCUCAGUCUCCAACAGGAUUCGUUGUAAGAGCAGAAGCUGAGUCUCCAACCGUAUUCGUUGAGUACUUAAUAGAUGUGCGCCCGGGAGACGGAGUUACCAGUGCAAAUCUCUCCUUGAGUUGGAAUCUAGUCUACAGAAUAUUUCCAAUUGACUCUUCCACCCACUUGUCACGGCUCCUACUGAAAUGGACGUAAUUUAUUCCUAUCAAUGUCAGUCUCCCCUUCUGGAUGGGCCCAGGAAGGAGCCUGAGGAGCCCCAGGUGCAUCCUGGAAGACCCUGCCCCCUGGUCCAACCCUGCCUCCCAAGGACGUGUUGGUGCAGACAGGACUGGACAGAAUGGAAGCCCCAGCACAGCCCCGAACUGGACUCCUCGGCCCCGUGGACAGUGGAGGACUGACCGGCUACUCACCUGGGGUUAUGGACACUCAUAGAUUGAUUGCGCCGGCCCCACCAUGAGGGAAUCGGUUGGCACUGGGCUGCUGCCCCGUGGACACCCAUCCCCGCCCCCAGCCUGAAACUGUAUCCCCCCCCUUCCAGACAAUGCCAUUUCGUUUAGGAGUCAAGGGUCAAACCCUGCAUCAUGGGUGCCAAAUCAGUCUCUUGCAAAUCUAGGAGGUGAUGGAGGCGUGUGCGUGCAUGUGUGUCUGUUUCUUGUGUGAGAGCGAGGGCCGGGACAGGAGCAGGGUGAGAGGGGCUGCCCCUCUUUGGCGGGUAAAGGUUUCUGGAAACAGGGGUCUAGAGUCCUGGGCCCGUACUCCGUGGACCUCAAGACCGGGCGUGAAGUCGUGCCGGGGCCCUUAAUUCUAUAGUCAGCGCGUCUUACUCCCGCUCUGGUCCGUUGGGAGUUGUCGGGCCUGCUCUGGCUUCAGGAGUACAGACUCUCUUUCCCGCCUGAGGGGGCCACCCAGGGGGAGCGAGGGACAGGAGUAGUGGGAUGUGUGUGUGUCUGUGUGUAUGUGUCACUACCCUAUGGCCUCCAUCCCUCCUGGAUGAGCAUAAGGGCGGGGGCGAAAGGACUAGCAGCAAAUUCUAAAGUGGGAAGAUGCAGAAUGGUUUCCCUCCCAUCCUACCACCAGAAAUGGCAUGGUCCGGCUCCCUCCUCUCCUCCCUGUCCCCUUGGCUGCCUGGGCUCCGUGAGCCCAUCUACAUCUGUAUGGAAUAAAAUGGAUAUUUUUUUUGUCUU